GCAAGUCGAACGAGACGAGAGCUUAGCUUGCUUUGCUUGAGUUAAGUGGCGGACGGGUGAGUAACACGUGAGCAACCUGCCCAAAAGUAGGGGAUAGCCCACCGAAAGGUGGAUUAAUACCGUAUGUGAUCGCUAGGGGAUUCCCUGGUUGAUUAAAGGUGGGGAUCCUUCGGGACCUGCCGCUUUUGGAUGGGCUCGCGGCCUAUCAGCUUGUUGGUGAGGUAACGGCUCACCAAGGCUACGACGGGUAGCUGGUCUGAGAGGAUGAUC
This 270-nucleotide ribosomal RNA is filed under the name uncultured bacterium. RNAcentral describes it as "partial 16S ribosomal RNA". It matches the Rfam family "Bacterial small subunit ribosomal RNA", at positions 57 to 305 of the family's 1533-position model. The record is from RNAcentral.